Molecule: ribosomal RNA, 516 nt
Filed under: uncultured Gammaproteobacteria bacterium
Lineage: Bacteria; Pseudomonadati; Pseudomonadota; Gammaproteobacteria
Description: bacterial SSU rRNA
Rfam family: Bacterial small subunit ribosomal RNA
Source: RNAcentral
GAGUUUGAUCGUGGCUCAGAUUGAACGCUGGCGGCGUGCUUAACACAUGCAAGUCGAGCGGUAACAGGCGUAGCAAUACGUGCUGACGAGCGGCGAACGGGUGAGUAAUGCUUCGGAAUCUUCCUCGUAGUGGGGAAUAACCUGGGGAAACUCAGGCUAAUACCGCAUACGAACUACGGUUGAAAGCAGGGGAUCGCAAGACCUUGCGCUAUGAGAUGAGCCGAAGUCGGAUUAGCUAGUUGGUGAGGUAACGGCUCACCAAGGCGACGAUCCGUAGCUGGUCUGAGAGGACGACCAGCCACACUGGGACUGAGACACGGCCCAGACUCCUACGGGAGGCAGCAGUGGGGAAUAUUGGACAAUGGGGGCAACCCUGAUCCAGCGACGCCGCGUGUGUGAAGAAGGCCUGCGGGUUGUAAAGCACUUUUAGUGGGGAUGAAAAGCCGAAGGCUAAUACCUUUCGGCUUUGACCUAACCCAAAGAAAAGCACCGGCUAACUCUGUGCCAGCAGCAGCC